AGUGAACGCUGGCGGUAGGCCUAACACAUGCAAGUCGAACGGCAGCACAGUAAGAGCUUGCUCUUACGGGUGGCGAGUGGCGGACGGGUGAGGAAUACAUCGGAAUCUACUUUUUCGUGGGGGAUAACGUAGGGAAACUUACGCUAAUACCGCGUACGACCUACGGGUGAAAGCAGGGGAUCUUCGGACCUUGCGCGAUUGAAUGAGCCGAUGUCGGAUUAGCUAGUUGGCGGGGUAAAGGCCCACCAAGGCGACGAUCCGUAGCUGGUCUGAGAGGAUGAUCAGCCACACUGGAACUGAGACACGGUCCAGACUCCUACGGGAGGCAGCAGUGGGGAAUAUUGGACAAUGGGCGCAAGCCUGAUCCAGCCAUACCGCGUGGGUGAAGAAGGCCUUCGGGUUGUAAAGCCCUUUUGUUGGGAAAGAGAAGCAGCAGGUUAAUACCCCGCUGUUCUGACGGUACCCAAAGAAUAAGCACCGGCUAACUUCGUG
RNAcentral lists this ribosomal RNA (492 nucleotides) under uncultured bacterium. Its description in RNAcentral is "partial 16S ribosomal RNA". It matches the Rfam family "Bacterial small subunit ribosomal RNA", at positions 29 to 507 of the family's 1533-position model. The record is from RNAcentral.